RNAcentral lists this ribosomal RNA (484 nucleotides) under uncultured bacterium. RNAcentral describes it as "partial 16S ribosomal RNA". It matches the Rfam family "Bacterial small subunit ribosomal RNA", at positions 32 to 507 of the family's 1533-position model. The record is from RNAcentral.
AUUUAACUCUGGCGGCAGGCCUAACACAUGCAAGUCGAGCGGAUGAGGGGAGCUUGCUCCCUGAUUUAGCGGCGGACGGGUGAGUAAUGCCUAUGAAUCUGCCUGGUAGUGGGUGAUAACUUUCCGAAAGGAACGCUAAUACCGCAUACGUCCUACGUGAGAAAGCAGGGGACCUUCGGGCCUUGCGCUAUCAGAUGAGCCUAGGUCUGAUUAGCUAGUUGGUGAGGUAAUGGCUCACCAAGGCGACGAUCCGUAACUGGUCUGAGAGGAUGAUCAGUCACACUGGAACUGAGACACGGUCCAGACUCCUACGGGAGGCAGCAGUGGGGAAUAUUGGACAAUGGGCGAAAGCCUGAUCCAGCCAUGCCGCGUGUGUGAAGAAGGUCUUCGGAUUGUAAAGCACUUUAAGUUGGGAGGAAGGGCUGCUGGUUAAUACCCUGCAGUUUUGACGUUACCAAAAGAAUAAGCACCGGCUAACUUCGUG